This 253-nucleotide ribosomal RNA is filed under the name Acidobacterium sp. RNAcentral's name for it is "partial 16S ribosomal RNA". It matches the Rfam family "Bacterial small subunit ribosomal RNA", at positions 524 to 776 of the family's 1533-position model. Lineage: Bacteria; Pseudomonadati; Acidobacteriota; Terriglobia; Terriglobales; Acidobacteriaceae. RNAcentral also lists the same sequence under 2 other names. The record is from RNAcentral.
UACGUAGGCAGCAAGCGUUGUUCGGAAUUACUGGGCGUAAAGAGUGUGUAGGCGGUGCUCCAAGUCUGGUGUGAAAUCUCCCGGCUCAACUGGGAGGGUGCAUUAGAAACUGGAAUGCUAGAGGAUGGGAGAGGUAAGCGGAAUUCCUGGUGUAGCGGUGAAAUGCGUAGAUAUCAGGAGGAACACCUGUGGUGUAGACAGCUUACUGGACCAUUUCUGACGCUGAGACACGAAAGCGUGGGUAGCAAACAGG